UACGAAGGGGGCUAGCGUUGCUCGGAAUCACUGGGCGUAAAGCGCACGUAGGCGGAUUGCUAAGUCAGGGGCGAAAUCCUGGAGCUCAACUCCAGAACUGCCCUUGAUACUGGCGGUCUCGAGUCCGGGAGAGGUGAGUGGAACUGCGAGUGUAGAGGUGAAAUUCGUAGAUAUUCGCAAGAACACCAGUGGCGAAGGCGGCUCACUGGCCCGAUACUGACGCUGAUGCACGAAAGCGUGGGGAGCAAACAGG
Molecule: ribosomal RNA, 253 nt
Filed under: uncultured bacterium
Lineage: Bacteria
Description: partial 16S ribosomal RNA
Rfam family: Bacterial small subunit ribosomal RNA
Source: RNAcentral